Molecule: long non-coding RNA, 3655 nt
Filed under: Lactuca sativa (garden lettuce)
Lineage: Eukaryota; Viridiplantae; Streptophyta; Magnoliopsida; Asterales; Asteraceae
Description: long non-coding RNA (LSAT_LNC008924)
Source: RNAcentral
UGCCACAUCAUAUCCGAUCACAGAACAGCCAUGCACUUCGGGUCUACUGUGUGACUGGUCCGCCGCACCGGCCAACAGUCCACCUGGUCCACCCUCCGAGUCUAGCCAUAUACAUCGAGUAUGCAGUGUGAUUGGUCCGCCCGCACCGAGCCUUCAAUCGACCUGGUCCACUCUCUGAGUCUACAGUAUGACUGGUCUGCCCGCACCCGGCCUUCAGUCGGCCUGUUCCACUCUCCGAGCCUUGAAAUGUCUGGUCCGCCCUCUUGGGACCUACAGCCUAUCUGGACCGCUCGCUAGGCCUUCGGGACAACCGGUCCGCCCUGGGUAUCUUGGCCUACAGUACAAAGCAGGACCCGCCUCAACCUAACUCAAGUCCAAAUAACCAUGUGCACAUAAACAUACAAUCAUAUCACAAUUCACAGUCAACAAGCCGAUCAAACAGAUCACAUAACAUAUCAUCAUCCAAACAAGGAUACCGAGCUAACCGGUCACUAGCAUAGCAUCACCCUACAUAUCAGGAUAUCGACCUCAACCAGGUCUCUAACAUAUACUAUCCUAGCUACCAGGAUGCAAACAUAUCAAAGCAAUAACAUAACAACAAAUACUCGGAUCUCAAUCCGAUAAAGGGAUGGCCAUGGUGCCUUAGACCCUAUUGAUAUAGUGAGGAUAACUCACCUCGCACUGCCGAAACUCUGAACUGAAGAAGCAGAUUCCCGAAUCACCGCCUCACCGAAAAUGCCGAACUAGCCAACAUAGCACAGAUUAUCAUUAGGCUAAGCACAAUACUCUUCCAAGGGUAAAUUGACCAAUUUACCCUUAACUUAUUUAGGCCCAACACUAGAUAAACUCUCAAGCCCACUAAUGGCCCAAAGUCGAGAAGUCCAAAGAAAAGCCCACUGUUGGCCCAAUUUACAAAAUUGGGCCCACCCCACCAAAUGGGCCUAAACUCAUGAUCCAUAACAACCAAUGGGCCCACAAUACUCUAUCCAUAAUGUCCAGUCACGGCCCAAAAUCCAGCAGCCCAAUAACAGCCCAAACUAUAAGGCCUAAAUUGAAAAUGCCACAGAUGGGGUACGCUGGGCGUACCCUUCUUGGUACGCUGGGCGUACAACCAUGCUCGCGACAUGGGAUUGGGACACUGGCCCGCUACGCUGGGCGUACUCAUAGGUUACGCGGGGCGUAACCUCACAGCUCAACAACAUCCCAUAACGUCUUAAUGGAUUAAGCUCUUAAGCCUAAACUUCAGAUCCUUAGGCCAAAUAUGCCUAAGAUUCAUAAAGUCUCAAACUUUAUCACUUGGGACGUCCAUAAAGCUCUUAAUCCAAGGUCUUAAUCCAUUAAGACCCACAUAUCUCUCACAUGGAACAACAACAGCCCUUGGGACCUCAUUUUUCUCACUCAAGACCUCUCCAAAGGUCCGAAAGGACAGAUAAUCUCGACCAACUCAAAACAUGCAUCAAGAUGAGGACUUUUGGGACAAGAAUGGUGUCAAAGCUUUACAAUACAUAGAUCUACACAAUAUGUAUGUCAAGCAAGAAGCUUUAUACCUCAAAUAGGCUCCAAAGGAUGAUGUCUUCCCAGAUCUAUAAGCUCCAACAGUUCCUCUCCUUCUUUGACAACUUCUCCUUUCUUCCUUUAUGCUCUUCUUUGCUAAUCCAAGCUUUUCAAGACCAAACACACCCAAUCAAGGAGGUGGGAUGGCUAUCUUAGGGUUUUUGAGGUUAAGAGGGUGAUUAUGGAGGCUAAGGAGGAAGCCUUUAUGUUCUUUAUAUAGUGGUUGCCUUAAAAUUAGGGUUUUGGGGAUUCUGAGAGUACGUGGGGCGUACCUCUAGUAUGCUGGGCGUACUCCCCCAAACACCAGUGUUUCUUUCCUCCACUACGCUGGGCGUACGUCUAGCUGACGCUGAGCGUACCGAGCAUGACCUCUUUUCCAUGCAUGGUCUUUCCUUUCCACUUUUCCCAUAAAAGGACCAUCAUUACCCUUUCUCUUAAAUCUCAGGGACUCAUUCAUAAAUACUUUAAGAACGUAGGAGGCAUCGUAUUAUCAAAGUCCCGAUACUGAAAACCCCGACCAGCUCCUCCCCCUGCCGCUGCUACAGCCGCUGUAGCCGCGGCGGCAGCCGUCUCUGUGAGAGCUGGACAACGCUCAUCAAAAUACUCAACCAUGGCGGUCUUAAUCGACCAAAACAGUUACGGCAACUCGGCCCGAAACAACGCAGCAACCUCAUCAUGCAGGAUCUCACGAAUCCUAGCGUCCAACUCGCCUGUGCUCAUCUGACCAAUAACCUCGGGCGGUACUGACCCGCCUGGAACUCCCUCUCCUGCUCCCUCUCCUGACCCGGAUCCACUCCUUGCAUGCCUCGGAAUCUCCAUACUGAAAAACACCAUAAAAUCUCAGAUUCUUCCCACUAUCCUGGGAACCAACUCUAAAUCCAACCCUAGAGGUCAUGGUUUUCCUGAUAUGCGUAUGGGUCCUGUGGUUUCAGUAGUACGGGCCAAUAGUACCUUCCAGACCUACCCAUAUUUGUAUGAAGUACUACCAAAACACGCUAGUGAAAACAUACAAAACAAGCGCUCAACCCUCACUACUAGAGGAACACUAGAAAUCUCCCACAAGGAAACCCUAGGCUAACAGGCAUCAUAAAUCAGACAACAUUAUCAUGAAAUCCUGAAGAUCCCUAGCCUAGCACUAGCAUACUGUUCUAUCAAAGCUCAAAAACAAAUAUCAUGUAUUGUAUUUUGGGGUUACUUACUGGCUCCGGCUGAUCGUACCUCCGCGUCCUCCUUUACCCAUUUUGAAAGCCAUUUUAAAUUCUCUUUUGAAAACCCUCCUCGAUUUGAGACUGGAGUCACACAAGUGUUCCUCCAAUUCACUCAAACCAAGGCUCUGAUANGUGUAAUGACCGAAAAAUUCCAACCAAUUUAAAUUUUUCAAAAACAACCUGAUUUCAUUAACUUAUUACAAAAAGGUUUUCAAUACAAUUUAUUUAGAGUAUUCCCAGAAUCACAUCAUAACAUAAACAUGAGGAACGGUAGGAUCAUGCCUUCGCCUUCCCAUGGUCUCCUGAAAAACCUGAAAAACAUAACAUCACAACUGUAAGCCCGAAAGCUUAGUGAGAUAUCCCCAAAAUAACAACCACAUAUACCAUACACACAUAACAUGCCACAUCAUAUCCGAUCACAGAACAACCAUGCACUUCGGGUCUACUGUGUGACUGGUCCGCCGCACCGGCCAACAGUCCACCUGGUCCACCCUCCGAGUCUAGCCAUAUACAUCGAGUCUGCAGUGUGAUUGGUCCGCCCGCACCGGGCCUUCAAUCCACCUGGUCCACUCUCUGAGUCUACAGUAUGACUGGUCCGCCCGCACCGGGCCUUCAGUCGGCCUGGUCCACUCUCCGAGCCUCGGCACGUCUGGUCCGCCCUCUUGGGGCCUACAGCCUAUCCGGACCGCUCGCUGGGCCUUCGGGACAACCGGUCCGCCCUGGGUAUCUUGGCCUAUAGCACAAAGCAGGACCCGCCUCAACCCAACUCCAGUCCAAACAACCAUGUGCACAUAAACAUACAAUCGUAUAACAAUUCACAGUCAACAAACCGAUCAAACAGAUCACAUAACAUAUCAUCAUCCUAACUAGGAUACCGACCUAACCGGUCACUA